Molecule: non-coding RNA, 29 nt
Filed under: Mus musculus (house mouse)
Lineage: Eukaryota; Metazoa; Chordata; Mammalia; Rodentia; Muridae
Source: RNAcentral
UAUAGACCCCUCCCGAAGGAUAACAAAUA